Molecule: ribosomal RNA, 253 nt
Filed under: uncultured bacterium
Lineage: Bacteria
Description: partial 16S ribosomal RNA
Rfam family: Bacterial small subunit ribosomal RNA
Source: RNAcentral
UACGGAGGGUGCGAGCGUUGUCCGGAAUCACUGGGCGUAAAGGGCGCGUAGGCGGCCUGAUAAGUAGGGGGUGAAAUCCUGCGGCUUAACCGCAGGGCUGCCUUCUAAACUGUCAGGCUGGAGCACAGUAGAGGCAGGUGGAAUUCCCGGUGUAGCGGUGGAAUGCGUAGAGAUCGGGAGGAACACCAGAGGCGAAGGCGGCGACCUGGAUAGGUACUGACACUCAACUACGAAAGCGUGGGGAGCAAACAGG